RNAcentral lists this transfer RNA (88 nucleotides) under bacterium. RNAcentral's name for it is "tRNA-Ser". It matches the Rfam family "tRNA". From Rfam's summary of the family: Transfer RNA (tRNA) molecules are approximately 80 nucleotides in length. Their secondary structure includes four short double-helical elements and three loops (D, anti-codon, and T loops). The record is from RNAcentral.
GGAGAGGUCGCAUAGUGGCCGAGUGCGCACGCUUGGAAAGCGUGUAUACCGCAAGGUAUCGCGAGUUCGAAUCUCGCCCUCUCCGCCA